Molecule: ribosomal RNA, 496 nt
Filed under: uncultured bacterium
Lineage: Bacteria
Description: partial 16S ribosomal RNA
Rfam family: Bacterial small subunit ribosomal RNA
Source: RNAcentral
GAUGAACGCUGGCGGCGUGCCUAAUACAUGCAAGUCGAGCGAACGGACGAGAAGCUUGCUUCUCUGAUGUUAGCGGCGGACGGGUGAGUAACACGUGGAUAACCUACCUAUAAGACUGGGAUAACUUCGGGAAACCGGAGCUAAUACCGGAUAAUAUUUUGAACCGCAUGGUUCAAAAGUGAAAGACGGUCUUGCUGUCACUUAUAGAUGGAUCCGCGCUGCAUUAGCUAGUUGGUAAGGUAACGGCUUACCAAGGCAACGAUGCAUAGCCGACCUGAGAGGGUGAUCGGCCACACUGGAGCUGAGACACGGUCCCGACUCCUACGGGAGGCAGCAGUCGGAAUUCUUCCGCAGUGGGCGAAAGCCUGACGGAGCAACGCCGCGUGAGUGAUGAAGGUCUUCGGCUCGUAAAACUCUGUUAUUAGGGAAGAACAUAUGUGUAAGUAACUGUGCACAUCUUGACGGUACCUAAUCAGAAAGCCACGGCUAACUACGU